UGCUCUGAAGCCACGCAAAGCUCCCUGGGAAAGACUGGGGCUGUGGAUGUGACUCUCAAGAUAAGGGCCCGGCAUCUGAGGGCGCCUCCAACUCUCCUAUCGCACAGUUCCCCACCCCAGCCCGGGAAGCCCAGCCUGCCCAUUGCGCCGGGAAGAGCAGUGGCCUGGAUGAGGACAGCAUGGGUCACGGAUAGAGUCUAGAACCUUCCUACCCGACCCAGAGAAAAAGCCAAGAAAGAAACCCCACCUCCCCCUCCCGGAGGACGGCGACCUAACGCCCCUCAACGCCCUUUGACCUCUGAACUCUUCGCCGGGCUCUCGAGACCCUCCUCCCCCAUCCCUCCCGGCGCCUGGUACUACACAUGCGCCCUGCGGCCCGGCGCCAUGUUGGGUCGGUUUGAAAGCGAGCGCGGGCGUCCGGCCUUCCUGCGGUGGCGGAGGAAAUAGCGGUCCCGAGGAAGGCGGUGACGCGCUCCGGGAUGCUUUGUCGCGUCGUCCGGUUUGGGCAGGGCUUGGGCUGUCCGCCGCCCGGAGUCUGGAAGUGCGCGCUUUAAAAAAAAAAAAAAGUGUCCCGGGACGCUGCCACCCUGGAGCCAGCCCGACAGCCACACCCAGCGCACAGGGAUGGUCCCAGUCUCUGCAGCCCAAGGCCUGCCAUAACCGGUGUUCCAGACCCGUUGCCUUGGCAGGCUAACCAGAGAGCAGCGGUUUCCAAGAGUUGUGCUCCGCUUCCAGAGCGUCCAUCUCCCUGGCACUUUUUUGACGCGGUCGGGUCGUCUGUGUUUUGAAUCGAGGUAGUUGACAUUUCUUGCCCUAACUUUUAUUCUGCACCGCGAUGGAUUUAAUUCGGGAGAUUGAAACCGGCGCUUUUGAAGGGAAUGUAUUUAAUGGAAAUGAAUAACUCCUUUUGAGAAAGCCAUGGCGAAGUUAAACACAAAGCUCAGGGGUUGUUCUCAAGAGUCUUCAGUAUCUUCUCUCCUGGCAAGCGGCAGCCUGAGUGGCAGCCGCUCCGACAGCGCCCACAGCGCCCACAGCUCGUUUGUGUAUAAGGACCAGCUGUACAGCUCGGCUUCCGAGGCCCUGCAGGCCUAUAUUGAUGAUUUUGACCUGAGCAGAGAACAUCCUGGUGCAAACGCUGUCAAAGUGAACACUGACGGUGAGAUUGGUAAUGGGCUGCAAUUUUCCAGCUACGUACAUAUACCCGACAAUGCUUUUGUCAAUCUUGAUCCCAAGCAGCACUUUAACCCCUUAUACUAUAGAAGAGAGACUGUUAAUGACAUGGACGCCAUUAGCCUGACAACUGAUGAUUUGUUAAGACUUCCAGCGGAUGGAUGCUUUUCCUUCCCUUGUGUUCCACCUGAUCACCGACCAAACAAGAAAUACAGUGGAAGACAGGAUUCAUCAGACAUUAAGAAUAGUCCAAGUUUUUAUGUAGACGCUACUUCCAAGAGCAAGAAUAAUAUAGUUCCUCCUUAUGUAUAUACAAAUAUAAAUGGAAAGAAAUGUGGUAGGCCCAGAACCCCAAAACCUAUUAACAGAGAAAAUAAAUGUGUUUCGGAAUCAUCUUUAUCUUUUCCUAAAGAAUCAUCCUUCACGGAGGACAGUGCAGAGCGCAGGCUCGAGAACUAUCCAAGAUGGCUGACUAGCCAGAAGUCUGACCUCAGUGUCUCAGGGGUAACUAGUAUACCUGACGUUAAGUAUCCAAUUUGGCUCCAUAAUCAAGACUUGCUACCUGAGGCAAAUACUCCAAGGGGUUAUAAAUUACUUAACGAAGAUGAAUAUCGCCCUAUACAUAGUUACCAAACACAAAGAGCAAAUCAGCUGUUAAAUAAAAUAGAUUGUUUUGAAUAUACUUUUAAACCUUCAAACUUAACAGACUCCUUCAGUGAGUAUGAAGGAUUAGGUAAUGAAUUUAAAUGUCAGUGUGACAAUCCACUUCUCCCAGGACAAUCCCAAAAGCCAUUCUGUGGUAAUAUUUUGUUUUUAGUUUUUUAUUUUAAAGCAAAGGAUAUGUUAAAAUGUGAUAUACUCUGUAGAAGUUUUAUGAUGUAAUAACACUUGUAGAAUGCAUAUGAUCUUUAGUAUUUUAAAGCUGUUAAGGUCUUUAUCUCUGUGUCCUUGCUUACAUUAUCCCACUGUCCUGAUUUGAUAGAGACGUGUACUUUCCCAGUGUUUUACUUCCUGUUGACUGAGGUAUUUUGAGAUUUCUAUUUUUUUUCUUAAAGAGUGUUUUUGAAAUUAGGUGACAAAAUUGAGUUGCUUAUCCUGAAGGCUAAGAAGAAUCUCAAACAAUCUGCUAAAGACUUACCAAAACCCGUGGAAAAGGAUGACAGUCCUUGCUCCUUAGAUAAACUUGAAGCAGAACGAACGUGGGAAAAUGUCCCUGUGGCUUUGUAACAAAUCUCCUGUCCCUGUUAAAGCUGAUGACAGUCCUCAACAAAGUUCCAGGACACAAUGUGUGAAUGCGUUUCUUGAGGACUUUUUAAACGGUGAGAAUCAGAGCUCUACUCUAUCUGGAGGCAAACAUCAUGGUCCUGUUGAAGCUUUGAAACAAAUGUUAUUUAACCUUCAGACAGUACAGGAAAGUUUUAAUAAGAAUAAAACUACAGAGCCUGAAGAAGAGAUUAAGCAAGUGUCAGAGGAUGAUUUGGCUAAAUUACAGAUGAAGGAAAAUAUGAUGCCUAUUACUAGGUCUCUUCACAAGGCCUUACAACAUUUAUCCCGCCUGAGAGACCUGGUCGAUGAUACCAGUGGGAGACAGUCACCAAAGAAGUGAAGAGGAAAAUAAGCCUUCACCGCAAUAAACAGUCACCACACAAUGAGUUAUGUACUCUCUGCUGUUACUUACACCGAGAAGGUGAACAUUAGCCAUACGUUAUUCUGUGGCCAGUUCAAGUGGAUUUACUUCUAAGAAUCUGAACUUGGAAAUAUUCAUAGGCCCGAUUUUAUAUGAAAACAAAAGGGGAAGACACUAAGAUAUAUCCUGAAGUAGUACGUGGAUCCUCAGACCAGAAAAAUUUUUAACAUUCAGAAGUGGAUAAUUUCCUUUCUUGCUGUUUAUCUGGACUCAGUUUUUAUCGACAGUCUUAUCAUUUGCCAUUUAAUUCUUGGUUGUAAAAUCUUUUAGCUUCUUCCCAAAUCAUCUAAAUGUUAUCUUUGAAUGUGUGUGUACUGAGUAUUUUCAAGCACCUACAGGAGUACCACCUAUAACUACUCAACAAUGAGUACCUACAUUGUUGUGUCCUAGGGGUCAUUUUGCUACUUCUAAAGUUUCAUACAUUGGAUAUUUAAGAUGUUCUGUUUAUAAAUGACAUUUAAAUAGUUUGUGACUCAGUGUUAAUGGAAUGUUCUUUUAUUAUGACACCAUAGAAUCUUUUUUUACUUAAUUCAAUUAAUUGAUUCUUUGUAAGAUAAUCUUGAUAAUACUUAACAGUUGACAAAUAAUUUGAGACUAUAUUUGUGAAUUUAAUAUUUGAUAUGUAAUUCCCCAGAUUUUAGAUUUGGGUUAACCUCACUCUAUUAAAAGCUAUGACAUUAUGAAAAAUCUGAAACUGAACAAAAAAAUGAGUGUAGAAAAUCCCAAAACAAUUAUAACUUAAAGUAUCUACUAUAGUGUUCCAAAUUUAUCUCCAGAUAGGACUGAACAGAGUUGUGUUUUGCAGUUUCUACUAAGCAAAUAUUAAUAUUUGUAAUAAGUAGAAAACAUCUUCAUCAAGAACGAGAAUUAUGUAAUAAAGCAUACAGAAUGCAUUUACAAGCCUGAUGAAAUUAGUGUAUGGUCAAAGACUACAAAUUAACAUUUUACCCAAAGUUGUUUUUGUAGAACAUGAUUUUAAUAUUUUCAACUGUUAAUAUUCAAUAAACAAUAAUUAUUUUAUGAUA
Mus musculus (house mouse) is the source of this 3882-nucleotide RNA transcript. It is a transcript of the gene named RIKEN cDNA 4930503L19 gene, with no coding region annotated. The transcript is spliced from 8 exons. The record is from RefSeq and is marked validated. Lineage: Eukaryota; Metazoa; Chordata; Mammalia; Rodentia; Muridae.